RNAcentral lists this long non-coding RNA (2281 nucleotides) under Coffea arabica (coffee). Its description in RNAcentral is "long non-coding RNA (CARA_LNC003822)". The record is from RNAcentral. Lineage: Eukaryota; Viridiplantae; Streptophyta; Magnoliopsida; Gentianales; Rubiaceae.
UUUUUUUUUUUUUUUUUUUUUUGGGUAAUAACAGGCCCGUGCCAAAAACAAUCAUGGCUUCAGUUGAUACUUCAGGGCCAGAAUCACUAAUUGGGCCAUUAUGUUGGGUCUGCCGAGAAAUAAAUAAUCUUGUCCUUAAAAAACCGAAAAAGAAAAAAAAAAUAUUAACCUUUCCCCAAGGCAAGUGGUUAAUGUAUUACAUUUUUUAAGACUUUUUAUUUAUUUAUUUUAAUUUUGGUUACCAAUUGGGACUAGUUUAGGGAUUGGGAUUCUACAAUCGGCAGAUGAAUUGCAGCAUGCAAUUCAUGGACCAGAUGGAUUCAAUUAUAAGAUAUUUGCCAAAAAAUUUUUUUUUUAAUGUAAGACAUAUUGCAAAAAACUUAAAAAUCUUUACCAUGAAAAUUGACCAAUUAAGGCAGUGUGAUGAACACUAGCAUAAAAUGUUACAAAAUAUAACAGGGUUCCUUAAGUCCAAAAUCAAUAUUUUCCUAAGUUUCUGGUCUUUUUUUUUUUUUUUUUAAAAAAGAGGUACUUCAACAUGUCAAAAAUGAAAAGAUUUUUUUUGUGGCUUUCCAAAUUUGUAUUUGCGAAUCAAAUCAAAUUUAGCAACGUCUCUUUUAACUUCUUGCACAAAGGUCUUUGAACUUCUUAUCCAAAGGUCAACUUUUAAGGUACAUAAUAAUUUUGUACCUUUUUUAGUUCCCAAUCCAAUAAUAUAUAUUCCCAUCCAGGCUCGGAUUUACUAAUUAACAAAUUUUGCCAGAAAAGCAUUAAUAGAAUGGGCUUGUUGAAUUAGUUGCAAUAGUUCAUGGGCUAAUUAAGAUGAAAAAAAGUUUAAUGGUCCGGAAGAGAAUUUGGAAUAGUUUGAUGGGCUACUAUGCACUUUACCCAAAUAAUUUGAUACCCGUUUCAUUUCAUGGGCUAAAACUCUAUCCCAAACUUUGAGGUUCUUGGAACAAGAAAAACAUGUCACACGUGACCAAAAAAUGGGGUAUUACUAUGUUGGUAUAGACUAUGCACAAUUUUAUGAUGUAAUAAUUAGGUACAAAUUACAUUGGAUUGAGAAAAAAUUGGAGGGUCAAUUAAAUAACAAGAAUAGGAUUCAAGAAUACAAGUGUUCCAAUCCCAAUUGUGGGAAAAUGUAUACUGCCCUCAAUGCUCAAGAAUUGGCUUCUUUGGCACUAGAUGAUGAGUGUUUUCGUUGCGAGUUUUGCAAUGGGGAAGUUGUGGAGGAUAUGGCUGACGAAGAAAGGUUGAAAUUUUGCAAGAAAAAUGAGAUGUUGUAGAAGAGGAGGCAUGACCAAAAUUUGGCCCAAAAAAAAAAUGUAAGGUUCAGAUUUCAUUUUAUACAUCAUUUUUUCACAUCAUAUGUGAGGCGGGGCCUAUAAAAAUUUAUUUUAUAAUUACAUAUUGUUGAAAGUAAGUUAUAUCGUGUGCAUUUUACACAAAUCUGCUCCGAACAAUUUCUUGGGGCCCUUGUCCGAAAGAAGAUGGAGCUGCAGCUUUGGCCCAUGAUUGAUCAAGUGAAUACAGUAAAGGAUUUACCUGCUCCCGAAUUUGGAAGUCUACAAGAAUGACAAGGUGGAAAAAUGUUUGCGGGGUAGACAAAGAUUGAAGUGACUUUCUCUGGAAAUUCUACAUCAUCAAAAGAUGAUGAUUGGGUAGAUUGGGGGGAAGGUUGAAGGAUUGGUGCUUCAUCAUGUCUUAUUAAUAAUUGAGACUAGUAGUUCAUUUAUUAAUUGACUUUUCCAGCUGUUGUACUAUUCUGCUGGUGGAUUAUAGAAACUUGUACAAUGAAUUCAUGAGUUGAGUAGUUAAACUUGAACAAGUUUUUUUUGUUAUAUGGCCAUUGGUACCAAAGAGAAGACUUGUGAUGUAAGUCCUGACAGAAAUUCAAUUGACUGCUAGAUGGAUUUGAGAAAAAAGAGCAAGAAAUUUUAAAAUAUCCAUUUGCCUUAUGAUUUGAUGAAUAAUGGGAAAGAAAAGAAAGGACAAAAAAAAAAAAAAAAAAAAUUGAAGUGCAAAACUUCAACUGGAUAGUGCAAACAAAAGAAAUAAGACUUCAUAAUGCAACUCCAGAACAAAACAGUAGCACUGCAAUGAGCCAUACGCAAUCUGCAGGCACCUAUCAAGUAAAAAAAAACCAGACCAACAAGCACCAAACCCCAAAAGAAGGGGAAAAAAUAAAAAAAACCAGACUAACAAGCUCAAGUUCUUGAAUGUUUUAACAGAAAGCAGAAGUUACAUGCACAAACAAGCAAACAAGAUUAUUUCCCAGGUU